UUUACUGUGCUCAAGCUAUUAUUCAUCUCAGUUAAUAACCAGAUCCUUGUAUUUAUCGUAAGAGAUGUAUCGAUUCACUUCCUUUUCGAGGUAACGAUUGAGUUGGCGCGCAAAUACAUGGCAACCGGUCGUACAAGAAAAAGAAUAUCAUCAUCCGAAGAUUAGAAUCUCUCGACCUUACAUAGGGAACGCUUAAUUUACGGUUUCUUCGGUGAAGGCAGUAGUGUAUAUGUAUUUCGGAUCAGGGGACCACACCUACAAUGUGCAAAGAAUGUUUCUGAAGAUUGAUAAAGUUCGUAUCGACGGAAGAACAAGAAUUCUUCCGGGCAGUUCACAUUUCGUUUUCUACGAUAAACCUUCUCCCGAAAGGUAUCGAGAAAUUCUGAUAGCAUUUGAAGAAAUCGCCAAUUUCUGACCAAUUCUAGAGAACCAAGAGACGAAGUUACAAAUAAAUUAAUUUCAACAGAUGACCCUCCGAUGAUUUUAAAGAGUAUUUGUCUGAAAAAAUACUACCAAGGAAACUUAGAAGUGGUUCUUAGGUUAUGUUUCACGCGCCUCAACAAUUUUGCGGUUCUCGCAAGAAUUCAUUCCAGUCGCCAAUGACAAAAGAAAAAGAAGGAACAAAAUGAACGAAAACAAAAGAGAAAAACGUAUAUUUUCUCAGACACACAUCAUCUUCUUUUAUUUCACGUUACAAUAUUACAUUUAUACCAUGGAUCUUCGGCAUCUAGAGGCGAGGGUCUUGAGUCCUUCUCAAACAGAAAAGAAAGAGACAAAUUUGCCACGAUCGAGCACACUUCGCUUCUCUAUGCCUCCCAUUCUUCUUUUUCCUCCGUGUUUGCUCUCGCGUUCUAUGUAAAUUCGUAUUGUCCUGGCUGAUGUACAUAUAUUAUACAUUAUUAUCAGAAUUUCCAUCUACAACGGCCUUUUUCCCCUGCCACGAAAGAAAGUGACACACUCGAACCGAACUUUGUUUUACCAUCUUUUGUAUCUUCGUUCCUUUAUAACUCGUUAGUAUCACAAGAGAGUAAUGCCUAUAGACGCUAGAACUUUAUAUGUCUUAGACAACCUAUGAUCGUGUACUAUGUACUUGACAACUAGUCCUAACGAAGCUGAUAGAUAGCUACACGCAAUUUGAAUACACAUAGUUUUUGUGCUUUCUAUAGCUGCGUCCUUUUCGCCUUUUCCUUUUAGAUGCGUUUCUCCCACUUUUACUACUUGAAACCGUGCUCUAUAAGAUUUUUUUUCCGUUUGAAGCGACGAUUGUUUUCGCUCUAUUUGUCUUUAUUUGAUAAAGUGCGUUUCAUAACCAGUGCACGGAAAUACGCUCGUUCAAGUUUACAAUUCUCGCUUCUCCUCUAUUUCCACUCGUUUUUACAAUCUUCUAGCCCGUUUUCAACAAUUCAAUCUAACGAUCCACGUCGGUAGUAAACGUAAUUUGAAAUAACUAUACUAUAAGUUGUGUUUCUACUAUAACGUCUCGUCGUGCUGUUUUUUAAGCCUUCUUUCAUAAAUCGAACAAGAUCGCUUGCUACCGAUUAACUCGAAUCAUUUUAACGUAACGAUUCUGUUAUGAUGUUAAAUAAUAAAUGUUUUUAAAAAUGCAGUACUCUAUGGAAGAUCGAAAAUCGUAGAAACAUCAUGAGAGUCGGGAACUGUUCCUAAUAAAUUGAAAGGAAUGGCAAUUGGUACUCCCGCUAUGGUACAAAAUGGUGUCUCAAUUUCUUCUCCUCCUUCUUUGUCUCAUUAUGAAACCGCUACAGAAUUCUUUUCGUAAUAGAACAAACUGGAAUUCGCUACCAGACGUCGUCGUUUCACACAUUCUUGGACCGACUCCGAAACAAAUCAAUUUACAUAAUCGAUUAUAAAAACCUACGUCUGAUGUUCGAUCGAUAUCUUCUAACGCAGCGUGUUUCUAUUUUACUGCUAAACAGCGCUUAAUAUCUAUUAUUCUCCUCUCGUCCUUAAACAAAAAAUGCACGUUUAAAAAGCGGUAGAAACGGUGGGUUCUCUCGCGACAGUCUAUCGGUUCUAAUUAAUUCACAGUAGUAAAGAGACCUAUAAGCUCGAACAGUUUUAUUUUUCUGGUCGUGUGUGUUUGUGUGUGUUUUACGAUUGACAUCCAUUCGCUGAUCUUCAGAGCCGAGCGAAAAGUUAAACGCAGUAUAGAAAAUUUUAUAGUACGAUAUGUUGCAAAAUUCUUCCUGUCCUUCAAACGAAUCAUAGAAAAAGCUACUAUAAAUUUUCUUGAUACAGUUGUUAAAUCGUGUCGGUUCACUGGCAAUAGCGAACAAUGUAUAUUUUGGUUCAUUCGUCGAACGAGAAAGUUACAAACGAUGUUACUAGA
Bombus terrestris (buff-tailed bumblebee) is the source of this 2347-nucleotide long non-coding RNA. RefSeq lists it as uncharacterized. The transcript is spliced from 2 exons. The record is from RefSeq and is a predicted model, not a curated record. Lineage: Eukaryota; Metazoa; Arthropoda; Insecta; Hymenoptera; Apidae.